CAAUAGCGUAUAUUAAAGUUGUUGCGGUUAAAAAGCUCGUAGUUGGAUUUCUGUUGAGAACAGCCGGUCCACCUCUUGGGUGAGUAUCUGGAUUGGUCUCGGCAUCCUCUCGAAACUCGUUGCUGCGCUUGAUUGCGUGGUGCGGUGUUCGGGACUUUUACUUUGAGGAAAUUAGAGUGUUCACGGCAGGCAUUCGCCUUGAAUAUAUUAGCAUGGAAUAAUACUAUAGGAUCUUGGUUCUAUUUUGUUGGUUUCUAGGGCUAAGAUAAUAAUCAAUAGGGACAAUUGGGGGCAUUCGUAUUACGGCGUCAGAGGUGAAAUUCUUGGAUUGCCGUACGACGAACUACUGCGAAAGCAUUUGCCAAGGAUGUUUUCAUUGAUCAAGAACGAAAGUAAGGGGAUCGAAGAUGAUCAGAUACCGU
This 422-nucleotide ribosomal RNA is filed under the name uncultured eukaryote. RNAcentral's name for it is "SSU rRNA". It matches the Rfam family "Eukaryotic small subunit ribosomal RNA", at positions 592 to 1018 of the family's 1831-position model. The record is from RNAcentral.